CAGCAGUGAGCAGCAGCUGGACGGUCACAUCUGGGAAUGCAAAGCCGGCCUACCUCCACCUCCUCUCCUACGAACACUUCCAAAACCACUUCGCCUUCAGCCCUUGCCUCUUCCAGAGGGGUUCAUUUAAUGGGGAUGUGUUCAAGGCAAGAGCGAAUUCAGAAGGAUAUCGAAGUCGUGAUCCAGAAGUACAGAGCCGAGAAGGACUGCCUGUUUGCAGAUUUCGGAUACUCAGACUCCACCUUUACUUUUACCUAUGUUGGUGGCCCCAAAAGUGUGUCUUACUCAGUACAUGUAUCUGAAGAUUACCCAGAUGAUAUAUAUGUGUCAAGUUCAGAAAAUGACGAAGAUGUACUAGUUACUACAGAGCCAAUUCUCAUAAUUUUUCAUAAAAUAGCAACAGAGUUAAGAAAAACAAAUGACAUUAACUGUUGCUUAUCCAUAAAAUCCAAAUUGCAAAAGGAGUCAAGACAGAAUAGUACAGUGGAAGAAGAUUCUGAAGAAUUUUAUUAUGGAGGACAGGUGAACUAUGACAGGGAACUGCACAAGCACCCACAGCUAGAAGCUGAUUUGUCUGCAGUAAGAGAGAGAUACGGGCCACAAGCAGUUUUCUCUCAGAAUAUGGAGCCAUUGAUGAUGUAGAUAAUUAAUUUGCAUAUUGAUGUUAGCUUUCUUGAUGAGGAGAUUGCCAUGGCUUGGGAAGUAAUUCGAACAGAGCCUAUCAUUGUUUGACUGCACUGUUCACUUUCACAGUACUUAAAUGGCCCAGUGCCCACUGUUGAUGUCUUUCAGAUUUCCACAAAAGAACGGUUUGGAUUGGGACAUCAACUAAAAAAAAAUCAUGCAGAUGUUUGUUACACAGCAGUGGAAACAGAGCAAAGAAAAAUCCAAUUGCCUGCACAAUAAGAAGUUGUCAGAGAAGAAAGCGAAGUCUCCCUUGCACUUAUUUUCUACUUUGCGCAGGUCGCCAAGUUAUCCUCCCUGGGUUGUGGUAAAAGUAAAUCGAAACUGAAAUCUGAGCAAGAUGAAAUCUCCAAAACGCACAAGCUGCUGUGGAGGACUUGCUCCAGCACGGUCAAGACGGACGACGUGUGCCCCACAAAGUCGCACAGGACUUUUGGUCGCACCCUGUCCAGUGAUCCCAGGGCUGAGCAGGCGAUGACAACAAUUAAAUCACACAAACUCUUGAACCGUUCCUGCUCUGCAUCUGUUAAGCAAGAGGACUGCCUCACUUUGAAGUCCCAUAAACUAUUGAUCUUGUUCUGGAGAUCCAUGCUGUGAGCACACCAGUCUCAAGCCCUACAAACUGUUAAGCAGGUCUUACUCUAGUAAUCUCAGAAUGGAAGAAUUAUAUGGACUGAAAAAUCACAAAUUGCUCAGCAAGUCCUGCUCCAGUGCCCCCAAGUCAUCCAAAACUGAGCUUUUCAAGGAACCUACCGCGGAGGGCAGGAGGCUCUCUCUUACCUCAGGGGUUAUUGGUAUCUUAGCACCAUCUUCAUCUUCAUCUUCCCAGCCUGCUCCAAAUGGUGCAAAAUGCAUUCCAAUACGGGACCAUGGCUUCCUAGUGCAGACAAUUGAGUUUGCUGAACAGCGGAUCCCUGUAUUGAAUGAGUACUGCUUGGAUUGUGAUGAGCCACGUGUGUUUCAGAAUGGCCCCAUGCUGAGGCCUACUGUGUGUUAACCGGAGCUGUGUAUAUUUGCUUUCCAACCCUGGGAGUAAUGCAUGAAGCUGUUGAUGAAAUAGCAACUAGAGCUCAGGUGGUAGAUCCACUAGUGUCCAUGUGUAGGUCUGCAUUGGAAUCUCCUAGAAAAGUUGUCAUUUUCAAGCCAUAUCCCUCUGUGGUGGACCCUAACAACCCUCAGAUACUGGCCUUCAACCCCAGGAAAAAGAACUAUGAUCGAUGAAAGCACUGGAUAGCAUAACUUCUAUCAGAGAAAUGAUACAAGCACCAUAUCUGGAAAUCAAGAAGCAGAUGGAUAAACAGGACCCCCUUGCUCAUCCCCUACUGCAAUGGGUUAUAUCAAGUAAUAGGUCACAUAUUGUGAAACUGCCAGUUAAUAAGCAAUUGAAGUUCAUGCACACUCCCCAUCAGUUCCUUCUUAGCAGUCCACCAGCCAAAGAAUCCAAUUUUAGAGCAGCUAAAAAACUCUUUGGAAGCACCUUCACAUUUCAUGGCUGUCACAUUGAAAACUGGCACUCCAUCCUGAGAAACGGUCUGGUUGUUGCUUCUAAUACACGACUGCAGCUCCACGGUGCAAUGUAUGGAAGUGGAAUCUAUCUUAGUCCAAUGUUAAGCGUAUCAUUUGGUUACUCAGGGAUGAACAAGAAGCAGACGGUAUCAGCCAAGGUUGAGCCAGCUUCAAGCAGUAAAAGCAGCAAUUCAUCACAGUCACAGAAAAAAGGGCAGCAGUCCCAGUUUCUGCAAAGCUGUAACUUAAAAUGCAUAGCCUUAUGUGAAGUGAUCACCUCACCUGGACCUGCACAAACAUGGAGAGAUAUGGGUUGUCCCAAAUACCGAUCAUGUCUGCACACGAUUCUUUUUUGUCUAUGAAGAUGGCCGAGUGGGAGAUGCAAAUUUUUUUUCUUUUUAUUAUGCAAAUAUUAAUACACAAGAAGGAGGCAUUCACAAGGAGAUCCUCGGAGAAAUUGGUAAUCAAACUGCUACUGGUUAAAGGACCAUUUAAUUAACAUGAAUUGAAAGCCUUCCUCGGGUUCAA
Molecule: RNA transcript, 2718 nt
Organism: Nycticebus coucang (slow loris)
Lineage: Eukaryota; Metazoa; Chordata; Mammalia; Primates; Lorisidae
Gene name: protein mono-ADP-ribosyltransferase PARP8-like
Exons: 2
Source: RefSeq, a predicted model, not a curated record